AUCGGAGAAUGGUUAAAAAAAAAAAAAAUCAAUCCCACUACAACCUGGCGGCGGAGGCCGUCACUAGAUCCAAAUCCUUUGCCGCGGCGUGCUUAUCUUCUAGAUAGCAGAGCAAAAAGAACGCCCACAUCGUUGUUUAGUCAUCAUCCCCAGAUCCAGAUCUUUCCACUAGUUUUCUAAAGUUGAACUCUAGACCUAGAUCCUUCCCUCAUCAUAGCCACCCCUCACCGGCGUCAUCGUUGUCACCCGCUACCUCCCACCGGCGCCUGUCCUACAGAUCUAGACAGAAUUAUUGCCCAACGUCAGUCGCUGAAGCCCAUCCAGCAAAAUUGAAUACAAAAGAUUCGGUUACAUUGACACCUGCAAAAUAUGAGGCUUGGAUUCGCUCCCAACAAAUGACAGGAACUUCAGCUCCCACUGCAACUUUACCACAUAGUUCAAAAGGAUCUGAGGACUUGAUAGAUGAUUGGUGGGGGAUAUCAAUCAAAUGGCCUAUACUAUCUAGACAAGAAGGUGAUAGUUGUAGCAGCUAUGAAGCACACAUCCACUGAUGUCUAUCGGAUGCAUUGUCGUGCUGGUCAUCCACCGCCAAACAUUCUUCGAUGAUUGUAUCUAGAGAGUUUGAGUCUGUGAGUGCUUUUGAGUGUGAAGCUUGUCAGUUUGGAAAACACCAUAAAGUCUCUUUUUCUUCUUGCUUUUAGAAUUGUGUGUCUAGUCCCUUUGAGUUGGUUCAUUCAGAUAUAUGGGGUCUGUGCCAUGUUUUUGAUACAUUUGGUCUUCGGUACUUUAUUACGUUUAUGGAUGAUUUUUUCCGAAUGACUUGGUUGUUCUUAAUAAAAGAUCGUAUUGAGAUUUUUCA
Molecule: long non-coding RNA, 859 nt
Organism: Eucalyptus grandis
Lineage: Eukaryota; Viridiplantae; Streptophyta; Magnoliopsida; Myrtales; Myrtaceae
Exons: 3
Source: RefSeq, a predicted model, not a curated record